UGAUUAGACUCAGAAUAAACG
RNAcentral lists this non-coding RNA (21 nucleotides) under Caenorhabditis elegans. The record is from RNAcentral. Lineage: Eukaryota; Metazoa; Nematoda; Chromadorea; Rhabditida; Rhabditidae.